AUUGAACGCUGGCGGCAGGCCUAACACAUGCAAGUCGAACGGUAGCACAGAGAGCUUGCUCUCGGGUGACGAGUGGCGGACGGGUGAGUAACGUCUGGGAAGCUGCCCGAUGGAGGGGGAUAACUACUGGAAACGGUAGCUAAUACCGCAUAACGUCGCAAGACCAAAGUGGGGGACCUUCGGGCCUCACACCAUCGGAUGUGCCCAGAUGGGAUUAGCUAGUAGGUGGGGUAAUGGCUCACCUAGGCGACGAUCCCUAGCUGGUAUGAGAGGAUGACCAGCCACACUGGAACUGAGACACGGUCCAGACUCCUACGGGAGGCAGCAGUGGGGAAUAUUGCACAAUGGGCGAAAGCCUGAUGCAGCCAUGCCGCGUGUAUGAAGAAGGCCUUCGGGUUGUAAAGUACUUUCAGCGGGGAGGAAGGCGGUGAAGUUAAUAACUUCACCGAUUGACGUUACCCGCAGAAGAAGCACCGGCUAACUCCGUGCCAGCAGCCGCCGUAA
Molecule: ribosomal RNA, 504 nt
Filed under: uncultured bacterium
Lineage: Bacteria
Description: partial 16S ribosomal RNA
Rfam family: Bacterial small subunit ribosomal RNA
Source: RNAcentral